This 493-nucleotide ribosomal RNA is filed under the name uncultured bacterium. Its description in RNAcentral is "partial 16S ribosomal RNA". It matches the Rfam family "Bacterial small subunit ribosomal RNA", at positions 28 to 523 of the family's 1533-position model. The record is from RNAcentral.
GAUGAACGCUGGCGGCGUGUCUAAGGCGUGCAAGUCGAACGGUAACAGGUUAAGCUGACGAGUGGCGAACGGGUGAGUAAUGCAUCGGAACGUGCCCGAUCGUGGGGGAUAACGCAGCGAAAGCUGCGCUAAUACCGCGUACGAUCUGAGGAUGAAAGCGGGGGACCGUAAGGCCUCGCGCGAUCGGAGCGGCCGAUGUCAGAUUAGGUAGUUGGUGGGGUAAAGGCUCACCAAGCCAACGAUCUGUAGCUGGUCUGAGAGGACGACCAGCCACACUGGGACUGAGACACGGCCCAGACUCCUACGGGAGGCAACAGUGGGGAAUUUUGGACAAUGGGCGAAAGCCUGAUCCAGCAAUGCCGCGUGCAGGAAGAAGGCCUUCGGGUUGUAAACUGCUUUUGUACGGAGCGAAAAGGCUCCCUCUAAUACAGGGGGCUCAUGACGGUACCGUAAGAAUAAGCACCGGCUAACUACGUGCCAGCCGCCGCCGUAA